This 399-nucleotide ribosomal RNA is filed under the name uncultured bacterium. Its description in RNAcentral is "bacterial SSU rRNA". It matches the Rfam family "Bacterial small subunit ribosomal RNA", at positions 355 to 744 of the family's 1533-position model. The record is from RNAcentral.
UGGGGAAUUUUGGACAAUGGGCGAAAGCCUGAUCCAGCAAUGCCGCGUGAGUGAAGAAGGCCUUCGGGUUGUAAAGCUCUUUUNGUCAGGGAAGAAACGGUGAAAGCUAAUAUCUUUUGCAAUGACGGUACCUGAAGAAUAAGCACCGGCUAACUACGUGCCAGCAGCCGCGGUAAUACGUAGGGUGCAAGCGUUAAUCGGAAUUACUGGGCGUAAAGCGUGCGCAGGCGGUUUUGUAAGUCUGAUGUGAAAUCCCCGGGCUCAACCUGGGAAUUGCAUUGGAGACUGCAAGGCUAGAAUCUGGCAGAGGGGGUAGAAGUUCCACGUGUAGCAGUGAAAUGCGUAGAUAUGUGGAGGAACACCGGAUGGCGAAGGCAGCCCCCUGGGUCCAAGAUUGAC